AUUGAACGCUGGCGGCAUGCUUUACACAUGCAAGUCGAACGGUAACAGGCCUUCGGGUGCUGACGAGUGGCGAACGGGUGAGUAAUGCAUCGGGACGUGCCCAGAGGUGGGGGAUAACGCAGCGAAAGCUGUGCUAAUACCGCAUGUGAUCUGAGGAUGAAAGCGGGGGACCAGGCAGCAAUGUUUGGCCUCGCGCCUUUGGAGCGGCCGAUGUCAGAUUAGGUAGUUGGUGGGGUAAAGGCCUACCAAGCCGACGAUCUGUAGCUGGUCUGAGAGGACGACCAGCCACACUGGGACUGAGACACGGCCCAGACUCCUACGGGAGGCAGCAGUGGGGAAUUUUGGACAAUGGGCGCAAGCCUGAUCCAGCAAUGCCGCGUGCGGGAAGAAGGCCUUCGGGUUGUAAACCGCUUUUGUACGGAACGAAAAGGCUCUGGCUAAUACCUGGGGCUGAUGACGGUACCGUAAGAAUAAGCACCGGCUAACUACGUG
RNAcentral lists this ribosomal RNA (492 nucleotides) under uncultured bacterium. RNAcentral describes it as "partial 16S ribosomal RNA". It matches the Rfam family "Bacterial small subunit ribosomal RNA", at positions 30 to 507 of the family's 1533-position model. The record is from RNAcentral.